RNAcentral lists this ribosomal RNA (256 nucleotides) under uncultured Methanoculleus sp. RNAcentral describes it as "partial 16S ribosomal RNA". It matches the Rfam family "Archaeal small subunit ribosomal RNA", at positions 1 to 263 of the family's 1478-position model. Lineage: Archaea; Methanobacteriati; Methanobacteriota; Methanomicrobia; Methanomicrobiales; Methanomicrobiaceae. The record is from RNAcentral.
UUCUGGUUGAUCCUGCCAGAGGUCACUGCUAUCGGGGUUCGAUUAAGCCAUGCGAGUCGAGAGGGUUCGGCCCUCGGCGUACUGCUCAGUAACACGUGGAUAACCUGCCCUAGGGGAGGGGAUAACCCCGGGAAACUGGGGAUAAUACCCUAUAGGUUACAGAUGCUGGAAUGCCCUGUACCAAAGCUCCGGCGCCCUAGGAUGGAUCUGCGGCCGAUUAGGUUGUUGUUGGGGUAACGGCCCAACAAGCCCGUAA